GUGGAUUAGAUACCCUGGUAGUCCACGCCGUAAACGUUGGGCACUAGGUGUGGGUCUCAACCAACGAGAUCCGCGCCGUCGCUAACGCAUUAAGUGCCCCGCCUGGGGAGUACGGUCGCAAGACUAAAACUCAAAGGAAUUGACGGGGGCCCGCACAAGCAGCGGAGCGUGUUGCUUAAUUCGAUGCAACGCGAAGAACCUUACCUGGGCUUGACAUGUACGGAAAAGCCGUAGAGAUACGGUGUCCUUCGGGGUCGUACACAGGUGGUGCACGGUUGUCGUCAACU
RNAcentral lists this ribosomal RNA (287 nucleotides) under uncultured bacterium. RNAcentral's name for it is "partial 16S ribosomal RNA". It matches the Rfam family "Bacterial small subunit ribosomal RNA", at positions 773 to 1060 of the family's 1533-position model. The record is from RNAcentral.